RNAcentral lists this non-coding RNA (170 nucleotides) under Streptomyces sp. CdTB01. RNAcentral's name for it is "Streptomyces sRNA 4677". It matches the Rfam family "Streptomyces sRNA 4677". Rfam says of the family: Located in the intergenic region between anti-sigma factor SCO4677 gene and a putative regulatory protein gene SCO4676. scr4677 expression requires the SCO4677 activity and scr4677 sRNA itself seem to affect the levels of the SCO4676-associated transcripts. Lineage: Bacteria; Bacillati; Actinomycetota; Actinomycetes; Kitasatosporales; Streptomycetaceae. The record is from Rfam by way of RNAcentral.
CACCCUGCUGGAAAAGCGGCUCGCGUAACUCACAGGGGUGAACCGUCUCGAUCACCCGCACGCCGUCCGAACCCCAGACCUAGGCUCGCGCACAACAUCACAUCGACGGCCCCCGACCGGGCGGCAACCCGGGCGAGGGCCUGACCAGCAAGGAAGGAACACGCUUCCUC